RNAcentral lists this ribosomal RNA (491 nucleotides) under Rhizophagus intraradices. RNAcentral describes it as "SSU rRNA". It matches the Rfam family "Eukaryotic small subunit ribosomal RNA", at positions 608 to 1099 of the family's 1831-position model. Lineage: Eukaryota; Fungi; Glomeromycota; Glomeromycetes; Glomerales; Glomeraceae. The record is from RNAcentral.
AGUUGUUGCAGUUAAAAAGCUCGUAGUUGAAUUUCGGGGUUAGUAGGUUGGUCAUGCCUCUGGUAUGUACUGGUCUCACUGAUUCCUCCUUCCUGAUGAACCGUAAUGCCAUUAAUUUGGUGUUGCGGGGAAUUUGGACUGUUACUUUGAAAAAAUUAGAGUGUUUAAAGCAAGCUAACGCUUGAAUACAUUAGCAUGGAAUAAUGAAAUAGGACGUUCGAUCCUAUUUUGUUGGUUUCUAGGAUUGACGUAAUGAUUAAUAGGGAUAGUUGGGGGCAUUAGUAUUCAAUUGUCAGAGGUGAAAUUCUUGGAUUUAUUGACGACUAACUACUUCGAAAGCAUUUGCCACGAUGUUUUCAUUAAUCAUGAACGAAAGUUAGGCGAUCAUAGACGAUCAGAUACCGUCGUAGUCUUAACCAUAAACUAUGCCGACUAGGGAUCGGAUGAUGUUAAUUUUUUAAUGACUCAUUCGGCGCCUACCCGGGGAAACA